GAGCCUGUAGCACAGUGGAUAGGGCAACGGCCUUCUAAGCCGUAGGUCGGGGGUUCGAAUCCCUCCAGGCUCGCCA
Molecule: transfer RNA, 76 nt
Filed under: Christensenellaceae bacterium
Lineage: Bacteria; Bacillati; Bacillota; Clostridia; Christensenellales; Christensenellaceae
Description: tRNA-Arg
Rfam family: tRNA
About the family: Transfer RNA (tRNA) molecules are approximately 80 nucleotides in length. Their secondary structure includes four short double-helical elements and three loops (D, anti-codon, and T loops).
Source: RNAcentral